Long non-coding RNA from Protopterus annectens (West African lungfish), 105 nucleotides. RefSeq lists it as uncharacterized. The transcript has 3 exons. The record is from RefSeq and is a predicted model, not a curated record. Lineage: Eukaryota; Metazoa; Chordata; Ceratodontiformes; Protopteridae.
CCUCUGGAUCAUUACAAGGUUACACUCUCUCAAACUACAGCUCUCCAGGAAACCAAGGCUAUGGUCCAACACAGUCAACACAGGGUAGUUAUGGACGAGGAGAAC